Molecule: ribosomal RNA, 157 nt
Filed under: Candida tropicalis
Lineage: Eukaryota; Fungi; Ascomycota; Pichiomycetes; Serinales; Debaryomycetaceae
Description: 5.8S ribosomal RNA
Rfam family: 5.8S ribosomal RNA
About the family: 5.8S ribosomal RNA (5.8S rRNA) is a component of the large subunit of the eukaryotic ribosome. It is transcribed by RNA polymerase I as part of the 45S precursor that also contains 18S and 28S rRNA.
Source: RNAcentral
AACUUUCAACAACGGAUCUCUUGGUUCUCGCAUCGAUGAAGAACGCAGCGAAAUGCGAUACGUAAUAUGAAUUGCAGAUAUUCGUGAAUCAUCGAAUCUUUGAACGCACAUUGCGCCCUUUGGUAUUCCAAAGGGCAUGCCUGUUUGAGCGUCAUUU